GAUGAACGCUGGCGGCGUGCCUAAUACAUGCAAGUCGAGCGAACAGACGAGGAGCUUGCUCCUCUGACGUUAGCGGCGGACGGGUGAGUAACACGUGGAUAACCUACCUAUAAGACUGGGAUAACUUCGGGAAACCGGAGCUAAUACCGGAUAAUAUAUUGAACCGCAUGGUUCAAUAGUGAAAGACGGUUUUGCUGUCACUUAUAGAUGGAUCCGCGCUGCAUUAGCUAGUUGGUAAGGUAACGGCUUACCAAGGCAACGAUGCGUAGCCGACCUGAGAGGGUGAUCGGCCACACUGGAACUGAGACACGGUCCAGACUCCUACGGGAGGCAGCAGUAGGGAAUCUUCCGCAAUGGGCGAAAGCCUGACGGAGCCACGCCGCGUGAGUGAUGAAGGUCUUCGGAUCGUAAAACUCUGUUAUUAGGGAAGAACAAAUGUGUAAGUAACUAUGCACGUCUUGACGGUACCUAAUCAGAAAGCCACGGCUAACUACGUG
RNAcentral lists this ribosomal RNA (497 nucleotides) under uncultured bacterium. RNAcentral's name for it is "partial 16S ribosomal RNA". It matches the Rfam family "Bacterial small subunit ribosomal RNA", at positions 28 to 507 of the family's 1533-position model. The record is from RNAcentral.